RNAcentral lists this ribosomal RNA (603 nucleotides) under Curvularia lunata. Its description in RNAcentral is "partial 26S ribosomal RNA". It matches the Rfam family "Eukaryotic large subunit ribosomal RNA", at positions 49 to 666 of the family's 3401-position model. The record is from RNAcentral. Lineage: Eukaryota; Fungi; Ascomycota; Dothideomycetes; Pleosporales; Pleosporaceae.
GGCGGAGGAAAAGAAACCAACAGGGAUUGCCCUAGUAACGGCGAGUGAAGCGGCAACAGCUCAAAUUUGAAAUCUGGCUCUUUCAGAGUCCGAGUUGUAAUUUGCAGAGGGCGCUUUGGCUUUGGCAGCGGUCCAAGUUCCUUGGAACAGGACGUCACAGAGGGUGAGAAUCCCGUACGUGGUCGCUAGCUAUUGCCGUGUAAAGCCCCUUCGACGAGUCGAGUUGUUUGGGAAUGCAGCUCUAAAUGGGAGGUAAAUUUCUUCUAAAGCUAAAUAUUGGCCAGAGACCGAUAGCGCACAAGUAGAGUGAUCGAAAGAUGAAAAGCACUUUGGAAAGAGAGUCAAACAGCACGUGAAAUUGUUGAAAGGGAAGCGCUUGCAGCCAGACUUGCUUGCAGUUGCUCAUCCGGGCUUUUGCCCGGUGCACUCUUCUGCAGGCAGGCCAGCAUCAGUUUGGGCGGUGGGAUAAAGGUCUCUGACACGUUCCUUCCUUCGGGUUGGCCAUAUAGGGGAGACGUCAUACCACCAGCCUGGACUGAGGUCCGCGCAUCUGCUAGGAUGCUGGCGUAAUGGCUGUAAGCGGCCCGUCUUGAACCCAAGGAC